UGGAUCACAUUUAUAGCAGUUGACAUUGCAGAAAAAGGAUGUUGGGUCUCUUCUUGAGUUCAGAAAGCUCCUUUUGGUUGGUGAGCAGGACAAAGUGGAUCCUUCAGAGUUCCCAUCCGUGUUUGUGUCUCAGCCUGUGUUAGGAUUCAGGGCUGUAGCUGUUGUUGUCACUGAGGAGUCAAACUCUGCUUUAAAUCAUGAGACACUGGCCUGAUGGCCAAGUGUCAAGAAUAAAGGGGGAAUGAUAUCUGAGUGUUGAGAUGUAACAAGGGCUGAUCCUUUUUGCAGUGGGAUGUAGCCUGGAAAGUGCACAGAGCUGAGCCAAGGGAUUGAAAGGGACCAAGCAAGGGAGGUGAAGAAAGAAGGAAGAAGGAAGUGAGGCAGCAGGCAAGCAGCAGCAAGUUGCUGUGUAAGCAGUGGGAUGUACCCUAGAAACUCCAUGGAGCUGAGCCAAGGGAUUUAGAGGGACUAAGCAAGCGAAGUAAAGAAAGAAUGAAGAAGGGAACUGAGAGAGCAGCCAAGCAGCACCAAGUUCCUCUACAACCAGGAGAAAAUGGGGAAAGCAGAAAGGAAGAAAAGCAGCCCCCUGACUCCUCCCUGAGCCCCAGACAGCCCAUGAACUGCCUUGCUGGGAAUGGUAGGACGGGGUGGACUCUGGAUUGCUCCCUCUGGAUGUGUGGUAAGACUGUUCUGCCAACUUUUCCAACAGCCUGUAAGCAUUUGCUGCCUUGGCUAGAUGGUGCAAGGGCAGCCUUUAAGCAGCUGAAGCAUUCCCUGAGGAGAGCUCUGGGUCUGCCAUAUGUCUCAGAACUGUUGGAAGCAUCUUUGGUGGGGAGGGCAAACAAAGGCCAAGGUGUGCAGUGACCCCCCUGAGAAGGGACUUUGAGUUAAUGGCAUCCCUGCAAGUGAACUUUGUGGGCUGUUCCCUCUGUAGGGCAGGUGACAGUCCCAGCUACAGUGAUGGGGAAAAAUGGUUAAAAGGGAGCCCCAAAAGCUGGAAAUUGCCCUGGAGGCUCUUGGCCAACAGAGUUUCCUGAGUUCCCCCUGCAAGAAGGACAGUGAUAGCUUUUGAGUGCUGGUAGAUCCUUUGAAUAGAUAGCCUUGAGUGUGUCCUUGUUGCCCCAGUAGGCCUUGUCAAAGUCCCCAUAUUGCAGGGGAUAUACAU
Pseudopipra pipra is the source of this 1165-nucleotide long non-coding RNA. RefSeq lists it as uncharacterized. Lineage: Eukaryota; Metazoa; Chordata; Aves; Passeriformes; Pipridae. The transcript has 3 exons. The record is from RefSeq and is a predicted model, not a curated record.